This is a non-coding RNA of Paramisgurnus dabryanus, 625 nucleotides long. Lineage: Eukaryota; Metazoa; Chordata; Actinopteri; Cypriniformes; Cobitidae. The record is from RefSeq and is a predicted model, not a curated record.
AAGCUUUACUUUACAUUUAUUUAUGUUUCUCUUCCAUGUGCAUGUUGUGUGAUUUUAGAUAUUCAUAUAAUUAUUUUCCUGAUCAUCAUAACACUGAUUCUUAUCCUGUAUGCUCUGACUGUUGGAUUUGGACUUUACAGAAUUAAACAAUUGAGCAGCAAGCUGAAGGUUCACAAUGAUGCAGGCGCAUAUGCUUCUCUUCAGCUCUCUGCUCCGGUGUCUGAAUAUGAGACUUUGAAUCUUAAGAAAGACAACACACAGUAAACAACAAAUAAAGAUUUGGUAAUUUCAUCAGAUUUGUCCCUCUGUAUAUUAAAAAGAAUAUUAAUUUUAAUAAAUAAUAAAUAAAUCUUACUCAACUUUAAUGCAAGUGCUGCUUUGAUGUUAGUAUUUUUUACAUGUAUUGCAGAAGUGAUUAAUAUGUGAUGUUCAAAAAAACAGGAAAAGACAAAAAAUACCAGCACUCUUAACAUGCUUAAAAGGACCACACCUAAAAAAUGACUAUACCCUUCAUCUGUUAUCACACUGGGAUCUGGCAGCAACAAAUAGAUGUUUUUGAACUGUAAAUGUCAGUGGCAAUGAAUUUAUGCACACAAUUUUUAGUAUUUGUGAUACAGUUUCUUUA